AAGAGUUGUUCAAGGCUCUUCUGUAAUCAGCAGGGAGAAGCUGGAAUCUCUGCAGGGUAAUUAAUAUCUUGGCUGUUGUAAAAUUGCUCUGGGGAAGUACCUUUCCAGCUCUGAUAGCCACAGAGGGAGCCUGUGGUGGGUAGGUUUCUGACUUGGGUGCUACAGAGAAACUUGAAAACUGACUUCCAGUGUAUUAAGUCACUACGUGAUCCAUAUCCACACCAUAACCUCAGUGGAACAGAGGCUUUUACUCUCUUUGAAGAAAGAGAAAUGGAUUUCAUAUCAGGACCAGCUGUAACACCAGUGUCUUGGCAAACUUUGUGGAAUGAAAAUCUUAACCAGGGAGUACUGCUCGAGUCCUGAUAUGCCAGCUGCCUGAACACAGGUUUUCCUUUGCCUUGAUGGGCACAAAUCCAACAGUAGUGUCCAGGCAAAGGUAAGCUCAGGGGUACAAUGGCUGGAAGGUGUCUGGAAAUUCCAGAGAACAAUCACUGUACCCCUGGACAGUAUUUCUUCUCCCCCAAAAAAGCCAGGAUGUGCUUUUGGUUGCAAGGAUCAACAGAAAUUUAUGUCAGCUGCAUGAAAACAUACUACAAAAGACUCAUUUUGCCAUGUAGACAAUAUCUUAUAAAAGAAAGGCACAGCAUGAAAAUUGUGGGAACACCAUACAAAUAAAAACCCAUUAAAUGCUGAUUGGAACGGGAAUUCUUCAUUUAUACUGCUAUAAAAAAUGCAUGAAAUGUAAACUAAGACAAUGUAAGGGUGCACCCAACUUUAUUCAUAGUUUUAAAUAAAGAGAUGGUUUGGGAAGAUUUAUUAAUUAUGCAAGUCAGACCAUUAUUUGAAUAGAUUCUCUGGUUAUCCAUAUUCACUGACUACCCAAUUUUCUUACUUCGAAGAAGCAGCAAUGUCUUCUGUAAAACCAUGUGGACUCAGAAUAAGAUUUUUGUGCUCGGAAUACAACUUCAACGUUUCUGAAAGGUGUUUAUUGCAGAUAUAGUGACUGUUUGCUUUACAAUCAUUUCCAGUAUGCAAAGUUUCAUUGUAUAGUCAGUAUGUCUUGUCAAGGAAG
Molecule: long non-coding RNA, 1072 nt
Organism: Hirundo rustica (Barn swallow)
Lineage: Eukaryota; Metazoa; Chordata; Aves; Passeriformes; Hirundinidae
Exons: 5
Source: RefSeq, a predicted model, not a curated record